UUAAAAUACAAUACUUCCCAAAAUUUGUCCAUCAUUUCAACAAACCAUUGUAAACAUACAAAAACCAACAUCAAAUCCAAUUUACUCCAACAUCAAAUCCACAGCUAAACCAACAUAAUAUCCAGAAUCGACCAACUACCAGCAAACUAACAGUUUAAUAACAAAAAGUCUAGAUAUAUAACCCCAUACUAUUAGCUAGUCAAAAUAACUUCAACGAACCAAAGUCUAAACAACCAUACUAUUAGCAAACUAGAAGCUGGUGCCUUUAGUCAUUGGUGUGCCAUCGUCAUUGUCACUGGCCACAUGUGCACACAGCUCUGUAACAUCAAUUGUGAACGGGUUUGCUUCACCAAGUUUCUUAAGGACCGAUGCCAAAUUUUGUUGCACCUUCCUGUUUACCUGCUCAUCUACCUCUUCUUGGAUUUUCUUCACUUUUUCCUCGACUUCAGCAGCAAGGCCUUCCUUAAUUUUUGUUGUCAAUUCUUUGACAUAUGUAUCCGUUGGAGCAGCAGCUGAUAGUUUUUGCGGCUUCUUGCAUCUCCCUAAGAGCCAAGUCGGGCCAUGCUCUUUAUCCAAAAGCAUUUCAUCAGCAGCCUCCCCGGAGUUGAUUUUUUUUGUUAAUUUUAUCCUACAAAAGUACAAUAACAUGAACAUAAACGAGCAAAUGCAAAACAGAGAAAACUGAAAGGGCAAAUAUUAUGUGUAACUGAUUAAGUUAAAUACUUACAAUUUUCUUUUUCAUUGUUUUAGUACUG
Molecule: long non-coding RNA, 755 nt
Filed under: Daucus carota (carrot)
Lineage: Eukaryota; Viridiplantae; Streptophyta; Magnoliopsida; Apiales; Apiaceae
Description: long non-coding RNA (DCAR_LNC006584)
Source: RNAcentral